UGGGGAAUAUUGGACAAUGGGCGCAAGCCUGAUCCAGCCAUGCCGCGUGAGUGAUGAAGGCCUUAGGGUUGUAAAGCUCUUUUAGCAGGGAAGAUAAUGACGGUACCUGCAGAAAAAGCCCCGGCUAACUUCGUGCCAGCAGCCGCGGUAAUACGAAGGGGGCUAGCGUUGCUCGGAAUUACUGGGCGUAAAGCGCACGUAGGCGGACUCUUAAGUCGGUGGUGAAAUCCUGGAGCUCAACUCCAGAACUGCCUUCGAUACUGGGAGUCUUGAGUUCGGGAGAGGUGAGUGGAACUGCGAGUGUAGAGGUGAAAUUCGUAGAUAUUCGCAAGAACACCAGUGGCGAAGGCGGCUCACUGGCCCGAUACUGACGCUGAGGUGCGAAAGCGUGGGGAGCAAACA
This 402-nucleotide ribosomal RNA is filed under the name uncultured bacterium. RNAcentral's name for it is "bacterial SSU rRNA". It matches the Rfam family "Bacterial small subunit ribosomal RNA", at positions 355 to 774 of the family's 1533-position model. The record is from RNAcentral.